UGUGCAGGCGGGCUGGCGUGUCGAUGGUGAAAGCUCCCGGCUUAACCGGGAAAGUGCUGUCGAAACUAUCAGUCUUGAGGGCGGAAGAGGAAACUGGAACUUCUGGUGUAGCGGUAAAAUGCGUAGAUAUCAGAAGGAACGCCGAUAGCGAAGGCAGGUUUCUGGGACGUUCCUGACGCUGAAACACGAAAGCUAGGGGAGCAAACAGGAUUAGAUACCCUGGUAGUCCUAGCUGUAAACGAUGUACAUUAGGCGUGGGGAGUUUACCCCGUGCCGGAGCCAACGCGUUAAAUGUACCGCCUGGGGACUACGGCCGCAAGGUUGAA
RNAcentral lists this ribosomal RNA (326 nucleotides) under uncultured bacterium. RNAcentral describes it as "bacterial SSU rRNA". It matches the Rfam family "Bacterial small subunit ribosomal RNA", at positions 568 to 898 of the family's 1533-position model. The record is from RNAcentral.